GACGAACGCUGGCGGCGUGCUUAACACAUGCAAGUCGAGCGGUAAGGCCCUUUCGGGGGUACACGAGCGGCGAACGGGUGAGUAACACGUGGGUGACCUGCCCUCAGCUCUGGGAUAAGCCUGGGAAACCGGGUCUAAUACUGGAUAUGACUCCAUGACGCAUGUUGUGGGGUGGAAAGCCUUGUGCGGCUGAGGAUGGGCCCGCGGCCUAUCAGCUUGUUGGUGGGGUGANGGCCUACCAAGGCGACGACGGGUAGCCGGCCUGAGAGGGCGACCGGCCACACUGGGACUGAGACACGGCCCAGACUCCUACGGGAGGCAGCAGUGGGGAAUCUUGCGCAAUGGGCGAAAAGCCUGACGCAGCGACGCCGCGUGAGGG
RNAcentral lists this ribosomal RNA (379 nucleotides) under uncultured bacterium. Its description in RNAcentral is "bacterial SSU rRNA". It matches the Rfam family "Bacterial small subunit ribosomal RNA", at positions 28 to 407 of the family's 1533-position model. The record is from RNAcentral.